GGAAUAUUGGACAAUGGGCGAAAGCCUGAUCCAGCCAUGCCGCGUGUGUGAAGAAGGCCUUCGGGUUGUAAAGCACUUUAAGCAGAGAAGAAAGGCUACAGGCUAAUACCCUGUGGCAUUGACGGUACCUGCCGAAUAAGCACCGGCUAAUUCCGUGCCAGCAGCCGCGGUAAUACGGAAGGUGCAAGCGUUAAUCGGAUUUACUGGGCGUAAAGCGUGCGUAGGUGGUUAGAUAAGUCGGAUGUGAAAUCCCCGGGCUCAACCUGGGAAUUGCACCCGAAACUAUCUGACUAGAAUACGGUAGAGGGAAGUGGAAUUUCAGGUGUAGCGGUGAAAUGCGUAGAUAUCUGGAGGAACAUCAAUGGCGAAGGCAACUUCCUGGGCCUGUAUUGACACUGAGGUACGAAAGCGUGGGGAGCAAAC
This 423-nucleotide ribosomal RNA is filed under the name uncultured bacterium. RNAcentral describes it as "bacterial SSU rRNA". It matches the Rfam family "Bacterial small subunit ribosomal RNA", at positions 358 to 773 of the family's 1533-position model. The record is from RNAcentral.